AUCGAAAUAAUUACUCAUUCCUACAUUUACCUUGCAGCAAAAAUUCGUGAUUUUUUGUGGGCAGCAGAAGAAAAUUGUGCAAAUUAAAACGGCAACGAAAGAAAAGUGUAAAAAAUUAUUUUAGGAAUUUGUGUGCGGUUGCAAGACGGGACCAUAAGGCGGUUGGAGAAAAAAAUACGUUAAAAAUGGCGUUGAAAGUGCUGGUUGGGCAGAAGAUUAUGAACGAGGUGGUGAAAUAUAAGCCACCUCCACCAAAGAAGGCUGGCGCUGUGGCUGCUGCCAAGGCACCAGGUGGCAUGGAAUGGCGUGUGUUGGUCGUCGAUAAGUUGGGUAUGCGUAUGGUGUCCGCCUGCACCAAGAUGCAUGAAAUAAGCGCUGAGGGUAUAACCUUGGUGGAGGAUAUCAAUAAAAAGCGUGAACCGCUGCCUACGAUGGAUGCCAUCUACUUGAUAACACCAUCGGAUGAAUCGGUGCGUGCUUUGAUACGCGAUUUCGAGAAUCCGGCUAGGCCGAUGUAUCGUUAUGCACAUGUUUUCUUCACCGAGGCAAUACCUGAAGACAUAUUCCAAAUGUUGCAAUUGCGCAGCGAUAUAACGCGUAAAUAUAUACGCACAUGCAAAGAAAUAAAUAUUGCAUUUAUUGCCUAUGAGGACAAGGUCUACUCGCUCGAUUCACCAGACACCUUUCAGUGUCUGUAUUCGCCAGCGUUUGCUUCGAUACGCGCCAAGCACAUCGAUCGCAUCGCCGAGCAAAUCGCGACUUUGUGUGCCACACUCGGCGAGUAUCCGAUGGUGCGAUAUCGCACUGACUGGGAUCGCAACAUAGAUUUGGCUGCUGCGGUGCAGCAGAAGUUGGAUGCCUAUAAGGCGGAUGAGCCGACAAUGGGUGAAGGUCCGGAGAAGUCACGUUCGCAGUUAUUGGUAUUGGAUCGUGGAUUCGAUUGUGUAUCGCCGUUAUUGCACGAAUUGACAUUGCAAGCGAUGGCAUACGAUCUCUUGCCGAUUGUUAACGAUGUAUAUCGCUAUACGCCCGGCCCAAAUCAACCGGAAAAGGAGGUUUUGCUCGAUGAAAACGACGAUUUGUGGAUGGAGUUGCGACACGAGCAUAUCGCUGUGGUGUCCACGCAGGUGACACAGAAUCUAAAGAAAUUCACCGAAUCGAAGCGCAUGACAUCGACUGAUAAAUCUUCUAUGCGUGAUUUAUCGCAAAUGAUCAAGAAAAUGCCCCAGUACCAGAAGGAGCUGUCAAAGUAUUCGACACAUUUGCAUUUGGCUGAGGAUUGCAUGAAGACUUAUCAGAGCUACGCCGAUAAGUUAUGCCGCGUUGAACAGGAUCUGGCUAUGGGUACUGAUGCUGAGGGCGAAAAAAUCAAGGAUCAUAUGCGUAAUAUUGUACCCAUACUUCUUAAUGCGGAUGUUUCCAACUUCGAUAAAGUGCGCAUUAUUGCGCUCUACGUUAUGAUUAAGAACGGUAUUUCUGAGGAAAAUUUGACAAAGCUCUUCACGCACGCCUCACUAUCGCCUAAAGAUCAGGAUAUGGUGCGCAAUUUGAGCUUUUUGGGCGUAAAUGUGAUUGCUGAUUCUCGCAAGAAAGUCUAUAAUGUCCCACGUAAGGAACGCAUCACCGAACACACUUAUCAGAUGUCGCGUUGGACCCCUGUAGUCAAGGAUAUUAUGGAGGAUUGCAUUGAAGAUAAAUUGGAUCAGCGUCAUUUCGCUUUUCUGGCUGGACGUGCACAGAAUACCAAUUAUCAUGCACCAACAAGCGCUCGCUAUGGCCACUGGCAUAAGGACAAGGCCCAAGCCCAAGUCAAGAAUGUGCCACGCCUCAUAGUUUUCAUUGUGGGCGGCGUUAGUAUGUCCGAGAUGCGUUGCGCCUACGAGGUAACCAAUGCCGUGAAGAAUUGGGAAGUGCUAGUCGGCUCGUCACAUAUACUAACACCCGAAGGUUUUCUCAGCGAUCUGGGCAGCCUUUCGAAGGAGGACUAAUCCGCAGCUAACGCGACGAACGAUAAUGUAACAGAUCGUACCGAAUAAUAUGAAGGUACCGAGCAGGCGCGUAUAUUUUGUAUAUGUAUUGCUGUAUACUAGUUAUUAAUUUUCGAUAACGUCGUUGGGAUUGUUUGUUCUUUUGAUGACGAUGCAAUUAAACUAUUAUUGUUCAUAUAUUAAAUAUACAUAUAUGUAUAAAAAUUAUUGAUAAGAAAUAUUACAACUUGUCCUUAGGUUAGCUGUGCGCUAAGGUGUUUAUGUAUGUUUAUAUAAAUUAUUCAAUGAAAAAAGUUGAUUCUUGAAGAACUUACUUCCGCUUAUUAUCUACAACCUAUAUAAAAAUUAUACACAAAUAUAUAAUUGAUUGCUUAAUAUAUAUUAUAAACGAUAUGACUACAUAGUGUAGGCGUGACGAUAAAUUCCAAAGUAUUCUCGUUGGUUAUGUGCAAAUAAGCGAGCCGCUAGUAGGUUACGCAUUUAUCGAAGCAAAAGAAAGUAUAAAGUAUUUACAUAUGUCGCAUAUUUAUAAAAAAAAAAACUAUUUAAUUAAAUUAUAAAUUGCAAUUUAACUUAAAUAUUAUUGUAUUUGGCUUUAUUAACUAUUAUUACUUACAACAUUUGAACUAUUUAUGCGCUUUUAAAAUAUACUUAAAAGCAAGGAACUAAGCAUUAUACUCUAUGCAACUAAAAAGAAGUAUGAAAUACAAAAAAAUUACAAAAAAUAUCAAAACACCGAUUUUUAAUUCGCAAACUUGAAAAGGAUAUUCAUAAAAAGAGAAAAGUAAUACAUUCAAAUAAAAAAUAAGUGGUUGAAUAAGGUGCAGACAAAAGGUCGCAUUCACAAAGCAUACAUACUUUGAAUAAAUAAUUUAAUUAAAAAAAUAAUACAUAUUAAGCAAAUUAACAUUUAAAAUAAUUGCAACCUUGAUUUAAAAAAAAAUAACCAUGAUAAUAAAAAAAUAUUAAAAAUAUUUCCGUAUGUAUUUAAUAACUUAAAUUGAGUGUUUAGAAUGAAAACACAAAUUGGUUUAUUUCCAACGUAAUACAAUAUUACAAAAACAAUAAAAAUUAUUAUUAUUAGCAAAACAUAGAAAUAGAAAGUAAUACAAAUGCAACCAUGUCACUGUAAGUGGCUUAUAUUAUAACCCAGUAUGUAUCGUACGUAAUAAAGUGGUUCUAUAUGACGCGCGUGUUGUGUUUAAGGCUUUCGUGAAAUUUGCAAAAUCCUGCAAUAAAGUACAUAUGCGCAGCUCAACUACACAACAUAGUAGGUAAAAAAAAUCAAUCAUUAAAUAAAAAUUAAACAAUCCAAUACUAUUGCAAUUAAUGUAAUACUUAAUGAAAACGAAACUUUGCUACAAUUUCUAAUAUUUUCGACCACUUCAAAAAUUAUGUACCUAUGAAAAAAUCAAACAACAAAAAAUUUAGAAUGCUAUUUCACAAAAUCUAAAUAAAAAUCUUUAAUAAACUGAAAUUCAUAUGAACCAUAAGCGUUAACAUAUCUUGGCUAGCAAAGCUUCAAAAUUUGGCAAAGCAUUAAGCAAAUUGUGAUAUAUUGUGGAACGAUUUGGGUUUGGGGACAAACCGAACGAAAAAUGUCACUGAAGAUGGCGCAAUGCCAUAACCGGUUUGGAGACAAAGGAUGAUGGAGAAUCGUUCCGCAAUAUGUUCAUACGUUCAUCUACUCCUACCCCGUCGGGAACACCAACAAUCAAAACGAUAACAUUAGUUUUGCUUAAUGUUAUUUCUGAAGUCUUGAUUGAUAGUUCUUUUUUUUAAUAAAAAUUCUUGUGUUCGGCUGGCGUUAUUUUUUUUUUAACUCGCGAUGUUUUUUGUCGGCACAUAAAGCACAAUUCAAUAUCUAAAAUUUCGUUUGUUUCUUAAUUCCAACUUUGCUUUCGACUCGGCAAGUGUUAUUUUUUAAUUCGCUCCUUUUUUUCGGCGCGAUAAACAAGAAUGUUUUAUUGAAAUCUCUUCUGCUUUAUCUUGUUUUUUUUUUAACGCCUUAUUCAUAAAAAUAAAAUAGAUUUAAAAAGCUCUAUAAAGUACCAGUUUCAAACAAAAUUUCGAUUUAUAAAGCAGUCUUCUUUAUUUUUUAUGAAUAUGGGUGUUAAUUUGCAUUUCGUUAGUUUGGCUCGCGAGAAGCUUUGCUGGCAUAAGUUAAUUAGCUCCUUCAUACUUCCAAUAAAACCGUUCAAACUUAAAACUGUAAGCAUCUACUACAAUUAAUACAUUUGUGCAUAUCGUUACCUUAAUAUAGAAAGGCCCAAUCUCUCAUUUUUGUUUCUUCAAACAUAGUUUGAAAAUUUCGUGAAAAGCAAAGUUCUACAGUUGCGAAUUUCGUCGAAGUGCUGGUUUUUUUAUUCAUUAUAUUAUUUAUAUUUGUCUUCAAUUUCUAUUAGAUAUAUUGUGAGCUAUUUGACAGAUUUUGUAUAAAUCUGUUUCGAAAUGAAAAUGGGUUAGGGCGUUUCUACAUAUAUUAUGGGAAUGAUAUGUAGGUAGUAUGUGUAUCAUAUCGACAUACAUACUUACAUAAAACUACCUUAUGUACAGAAAGACAUCUUAAUACAAUCUAUGACGACUAUUCAUCGCACCACAUAUACCUGUGUGAUAUGUACUUCCAAAACUAAACAUACUCGUACACCUCUACAUACUUACUUUAAAAUAAUUUAUAAUACUUAUACUAAAUAAAAUCAGAUACUAACUAAAAGGAACGUACUAAGUAGUUAAGCUUUUUUCGAGUAGUUAAAAAAAAAAUUCAAUUCUUGCAAUAACGGGAGAGCGCAGUUAAAAUGAUGACAAAGCAAAAUAAACAAAAAAUGUUCGAGUGUUUUAGAUGCAAUACAGUAUUUUACAAUUUACAUAAAUAUAGUAAAUAACGUGAAAUGAAUAACGAAUGUUCAACAUCAAGUAAUCAGUAACAAUUUCAAUUCUUUAUAUAUAUUAUAUAUAAAAACUAGUUAAAUUAAAAAAUGUAGAUAAUAAGUAUGGAAAUUAUAAAAUAUACAUAAAAUAUAUUAUAAAUAAAAAAAAACGAAUAAAAAAAUGCAUACGCAUAAAACAACACUCCACUCGUUCGAAACCAACACCGAUUGCCAAUGCGAACACUCACUCGCUCACGCACCACACACUACACGCUGUCGGCAUGGGUGCUAUCAACGAACGAACCAACCAACCAACCAUCCAGAGGCAAAUGUCAACUGCCUACAACGAAUACUGCAAUUUGUCUUAUUUGCAAAACAACAACAACAUCUGCAAAUGUGAUGAGGAUCACUAGACAAAUUGCAGUGUUACACCUGUGACAGCAGCGCCUAGCUGUGUGCAUGUGUGUGUACGCUUAGUGGCGGGCGGUAUAGUGUAGGCGAAAAGUGGCGAGUGUUUAGCGCGUAUGCGGCAAUUUUCCAUGUAUUUUAGAUGUUAAAGGAGUACAAGAAGAAGAAGAAAAUUAAUUGUUUAUUGCUUGUUAUAAAACAACCACCUUAAAUUAAAUAGCAGUAUAGUACAUAACGGUACUAGAAUCAAAAUAAACGAACAAUUGUGUGAAUUACAAAA
RNAcentral lists this unclassified non-coding RNA (5543 nucleotides) under Rhagoletis pomonella (apple maggot). Its description in RNAcentral is "protein ROP, transcript variant X1". The record is from RNAcentral. Lineage: Eukaryota; Metazoa; Arthropoda; Insecta; Diptera; Tephritidae.